UGCGGACCUUUUAAAAGCUUGCUUUUAAAAGGUUAGCGGCGGACGGGUGAGUAACACGUGGGCAACCUGCCUGUAAGAUCGGGAUAACGCCGGGAAACCGGGGCUAAUACCGGAUAGUUUUUUCCUCCGCAUGGAGGAAAAAGGAAAGACGGCUUUUGCUGUCACUUACAGAUGGGCCCGCGGCGCAUUAGCUAGUUGGUGGGGUAACGGCUCACCAAGGCAACGAUGCGUAGCCGACCUGAGAGGGUGAUCGGCCACAAUGGGACUGAGACACGGCCCAUACUCCUACGGGAGGCAGCAGUAGGGAAUCUUCCACAAUGGGCGCAAGCCUGAUGGAGCAACACCGCGUGAGUGAAGAAGGGUUUCGGCUCGUAAAGCUCUGUUGUUGAAGAAGAAUGUGCAAGAGAGUAACUGUUCUUGUAUUGACGGUAUUCAACCAGAAAGUCACGGCUAACUAC
RNAcentral lists this ribosomal RNA (458 nucleotides) under uncultured bacterium. RNAcentral describes it as "bacterial SSU rRNA". It matches the Rfam family "Bacterial small subunit ribosomal RNA", at positions 65 to 504 of the family's 1533-position model. The record is from RNAcentral.